UGUUCGAAAGGGAAACAGCCCAGACCACCAGCUAAGGUCCCAAAAUAUAUGUUAAGUGGAAAAGGAUGUGGCGUUGCCCAGACAACUAGGAUGUUGGCUUAGAAGCAGCCAUCAUUUAAAGAGUGCGUAAUAGCUCACUAGUCGAGUGACACUGCGCCGAAAAUGUACCGGGGCUAAACAUAUUACCGAAGCUGUGGAUUGUCCUUUGGACAAUGGUAGGAGAGCGUUCUAAGGGCGUUGAAGCAUGAUCGUAAGGACAUGUGGAGCGCUUAGAAGUGAGAAUGCCGGUGUGAGUAGCGAAAGACGGGUGAGAAUCCCGUCCACCGAUUGACUAAGGUUUCCAGAGGAAGGCUCGUCCGCUCUGGGUUAGUCGGGUCCUAAGCUGAGGCCGACAGGCGUAGGCGAUGGAUAACAGGUUGAUAUUCCUGUACCACCUAUAAUCGUUUUAAUCGAUGGGGGGACGCAGUAGGAUAGGCGAAGCGUGCGAUUGGAUUGCACGUCUAAGCAGUAAGGCUGAGUAUUAGGCAAAUCCGGUACUCGUUAAGGCUGAGCUGUGAUGGGGAGAAGACAUUGUGUCUUCGAGUCGUUGAUUUCACACUGCCGAGAAAAGCCUCUAGAUAGAAAAUAGGUGCCCGUACCGCAAACCGACACAGGUAGUCAAGAUGAGAAUUCUAAGGUGAGCGAGCGAACUCUCGUUAAGGAACUCGGCAAAAUGACCCCGUAACUUCGGGAGAAGGGGUGCUCUUUAGGGUUAACGCCCAGAAGAGCCGCAGUGAAUAGGCCCAAGCGACUGUUUAUCAAAAACACAGGUCUCUGCUAAACCGUAAGGUGAUGUAUAGGGGCUGACGCCUGCCCGGUGCUGGAAGGUUAAGAGGAGUGGUUAGCUUCUGCGAAGCUACGAAUCGAAGCCCCAGUAAACGGCGGCCGUAACUAUAACGGUCCUAAGGUAGCGAAAUUCCUUGUCGGGUAAGUUCCGACCCGCACGAAAGGCGUAACGAUUUGGGCACUGUCUCAACGAGAGACUCGGUGAAAUCAUAGUACCUGUGAAGAUGCAGGUUACCCGCGACAGGACGGAAAGACCCCGUGGAGCUUUACUGUAGCCUGAUAUUGAAAUUCGGCACAGCUUGUACAGGAUAGGUAGGAGCCUUUGAAACGUGAGCGCUAGCUUACGUGGAGGCGCUGGUGGGAUACUACCCUAGCUGUGUUGGCUUUCUAACCCGCACCACUUAUCGUGGUGGGAGACAGUGUCAGGCGGGCAGUUUGACUGGGGCGGUCGCCUCCUAAAAGGUAACGGAGGCGCUCAAAGGUUCCCUCAGAAUGGUUGGAAAUCAUUCAUAGAGUGUAAAGGCAUAAGGGAGCUUGACUGCGAGACCUACAAGUCGAGCAGGGUCGAAAGACGGACUUAGUGAUCCGGUGGUUCCGCAUGGAAGGGCCAUCGCUCAACGGAUAAAAGCUACCCCGGGGAUAACAGGCUUAUCUCCCCCAAGAGUUCACAUCGACGGGGAGGUUUGGCACCUCGAUGUCGGCUCAUCGCAUCCUGGGGCUGUAGUCGGUCCCAAGGGUUGGGCUGUUCGCCCAUUAAAGCGGUACGCGAGCUGGGUUCAGAACGUCGUGAGACAGUUCGGUCCCUAUCCGUCGUGGGCGUAGGAAAUUUGAGAGGAGCUGUCCUUAGUACGAGAGGACCGGGAUGGACAUACCUCUGGUGUACCAGUUGUCGUGCCAACGGCAUAGCUGGGUAGCUAUGUGUGGACGGGAUAAGUGCUGAAAGCAUCUAAGCAUGAAGCCCCCCUCAAGAUGAGAUUUCCCAACUUCGGUUAUAAGAUCCCUCAAAGAUGAUGAGGUUAAUAGGUUCGAGGUGGAAGCAUGGUGACAUGUGGAGCUGACGAAUACUAAUCGAUCGAAGACUUAAUCAA
Molecule: ribosomal RNA, 1913 nt
Filed under: Staphylococcus aureus
Lineage: Bacteria; Bacillati; Bacillota; Bacilli; Caryophanales; Staphylococcaceae
Description: bacterial LSU rRNA
Rfam family: Bacterial large subunit ribosomal RNA
Source: RNAcentral